GUUUGAUCCUGGCUCAGGACAACGCUGGCGGCGUGCUUAACACAUGCAAGUCGAACGGUGACCCAGGGCUUGCCCUGGUGAUCAGUGGCGAACGGGUGAGUAACACGUGGGCAACCUGCCCCUGACUUCGGGAUAACUCCUCGAAAGAGGAGCUAAUACCGGAUACGACCACUUCGGACAUCCGAUGGUGGUGGAAAGUUUUUCGGUCAGGGAUGGGCCCGCGGCCUAUCAGCUAGUUGGUGGGGUAAUGGCCUACCAAGGCGACGACGGGUAGCCGGCCUGAGAGGGCGACCGGCCACACUGGGACUGAGACACGGCCCAGACUCCUACGGGAGGCAGCAGUGGGGAAUAUUGCGCAAUGGGCGAAAGCCUGACGCAGCGACGCCGCGUGAGGGAUGAAGGCCUUCGGGUUGUAAACCUCUUUCAGCAGGGACGAAGCGAAAGUGACGGUACCUGCAGAAGAAGCACCGGCUAACUACGUG
This 482-nucleotide ribosomal RNA is filed under the name uncultured bacterium. Its description in RNAcentral is "bacterial SSU rRNA". It matches the Rfam family "Bacterial small subunit ribosomal RNA", at positions 11 to 507 of the family's 1533-position model. The record is from RNAcentral.